UCCAGACUCCUACGGGAGGCAGCAGUGAGGAAUAUUGGUCAAUGGCCGAGAGGCUGAACCAGCCAAGUCGCGUGAGGGAAGAAUGUCCUAUGGAUUGUAAACCUCUUUUGUCAGGGAGCAAAGUCACCCACGUGUGGGUGUUGGAGAGUACCUGAAGAAAAAGCAUCGGCUAACUCCGUGCCAGCAGCCGCGGUAAUACGGAGGAUGCGAGCGUUAUCCGGAUUUAUUGGGUUUAAAGGGUGCGCAGGCGGGAGAUCAAGUCAGCGGUAAAAUGUCGGGGCUCAACCCCGGCCGGCCGUUGAAACUGGUUUUCUAGAGUUGGAGAGAAGUAUGCGGAAUUCGUGGUGUAGCGGUGAAAUGCAUAGAUAUCACGAAGAACUCCGAUUGCGAAGGCAGCAUACCGGCUCCAUACUGACGCUGAGGCACGAAAGCGUGGGGAUCGAACAGGAUUAGAUACCCGUGUAAG
RNAcentral lists this ribosomal RNA (466 nucleotides) under uncultured bacterium. RNAcentral's name for it is "bacterial SSU rRNA". It matches the Rfam family "Bacterial small subunit ribosomal RNA", at positions 330 to 793 of the family's 1533-position model. The record is from RNAcentral.